Long non-coding RNA from Solanum dulcamara, 463 nucleotides. RefSeq lists it as uncharacterized. The record is from RefSeq and is a predicted model, not a curated record. Lineage: Eukaryota; Viridiplantae; Streptophyta; Magnoliopsida; Solanales; Solanaceae. The transcript is spliced from 3 exons.
UCCUGAGAAGAGUUGUUGAUAUUUGUCCUUACUUUCCUGUCAUUUUACUUACUCGUACAUUCCAUGCAUUGACAUUAUUCGACCUGCAUCAUUUUAUGAUGCAGAUAUAUGUGUUAGAGAUCCUCAACAGACACAUCGUUGAAGAUCAUUACUUUCCAUCUAUUUGAUUACGUUGAUUUGGAGGUCCAACGAAAAGGGAAGGCUCAAGUCUUGGAGUGAUUGCUUGAUUAAUUGAGGUUGUGAGUCCGGACCUGCUUGUUCUCCUACUGUUUUCUAUCACAUCCGAGGCUAUCAUUUCGAGUGUUGAGGUAGCUGUUACAUCCAUCUAGCGGACAUCUCUUACUCUUUUAUUAUGUUUUAGUCCUAUUCUAGAGACAAAGACAUUGUGAUUGUAUUUUCUUUCGUACUUCGGUAAUGUAUUAGUGGCUUGUAUACGUGACAACCAGUCUUGGGGAAUUUUGAG